GACGAACUGUCCUAACGUUGUUCGGAAUCACUGGGCUUAAAGGGCGCGUAGGCGGUCGACCAAGUCAGGGGUGAAAUCCUGCAGCUUAACUGUAGAAGUGCCUUUGAUACUGGUCGUCUCGAGGGAGGUAGGGGUGUGUGGAACUUCCAGUGGAGCGGUGAAAUGCGCAGAUAUCAGGAGGAACACCGGUGGCGAAGGCGGGUCUCUGGGCCGAUACUGACGCUGAGGAGCGAAAGCGUGGGGAGCGAACAGG
This 253-nucleotide ribosomal RNA is filed under the name uncultured bacterium. Its description in RNAcentral is "partial 16S ribosomal RNA". It matches the Rfam family "Bacterial small subunit ribosomal RNA", at positions 524 to 776 of the family's 1533-position model. The record is from RNAcentral.